CCUUCUCACAGUGUCUUAUUUUACUUCUGUAUGUUUUUGCUGCUAGAAUUGUUAGAGUCUUUUAUGUUGUAAUAUUUUUUGUUGGGUUUUUGGACUUUUCUGUCAGUUUAAAUAAAGGCAUCUUUUCAGUUUAUCCUGUUGCCUUAAUAGUCCACGUUUGGGUCCUCCUCCAUGACAGCUACACUAAGAAUAAUACAGAAACAAAUUGAAAAUGUAUCUAAAGGGUAGGCUUUUCUUUUUUCUUUACAAAAAAUGUGUUUUCUAUAUAUCUACUUCUUGAAAUGCCUCCACUAGGAGAGUUCGGUACGAAGUGGGUGAGAGGAGAGCUGCUCAAUGACCAUGUAUUCGAGAAGGGGUGUCUACAUUUCAGCAGUCCUGUACUUAUUUCUGGAUGGACUGGCUCAAGAUGAACCUACUCUUAAGUGGUGUACUGUACGCUCCUUUGCAGCAUGACAUCUGCCACACGGCUGACCUGAGAGCUACGCUGUCACUUGCUGUCCACCUCCAAACCCAGCAUCCACUUGUUGCCUCUGAGUCAACCUUCCUCUAGG
This is a long non-coding RNA of Oreochromis niloticus (Nile tilapia), 551 nucleotides long. RefSeq lists it as uncharacterized. Lineage: Eukaryota; Metazoa; Chordata; Actinopteri; Cichliformes; Cichlidae. The transcript has 3 exons. The record is from RefSeq and is a predicted model, not a curated record.